UACGUAGGGUGCAGGCGUUAAUCGGAAUUACUGGGCGUAAAGCGUGCGCAGGCGGUCUGCUAAGACAGGUGUGAAAGCCCCGAGCUUAACUUGGGAAUUGCGCUUGUGACUGGCGUGCUGGAGUGUGGCAGAGGGAGGUGGAAUUCCACGUGUAGCAGUGAAAUGCGUAGAGAUGUGGAGGAACACCGAUGGCGAAGGCAGCCUCCUGGGCCAGCACUGACGCUCAUGCACGAAAGCGUGGGGAGCAAACAGG
RNAcentral lists this ribosomal RNA (253 nucleotides) under uncultured bacterium. RNAcentral describes it as "partial 16S ribosomal RNA". It matches the Rfam family "Bacterial small subunit ribosomal RNA", at positions 524 to 776 of the family's 1533-position model. The record is from RNAcentral.